RNAcentral lists this ribosomal RNA (489 nucleotides) under uncultured bacterium. RNAcentral's name for it is "bacterial SSU rRNA". It matches the Rfam family "Bacterial small subunit ribosomal RNA", at positions 28 to 507 of the family's 1533-position model. The record is from RNAcentral.
GAUGAACGCUAGCGGCAGGCUUAAUACAUGCAAGUCGAGGGGGAUUAUCUUGUAGCAAUACAGGGGUAUGAGACCGGCAAACGGGUGAGGAACACGUACGCAACUUUCCCAAAACUGGUGAAUAGCCCUCCGAAAGGAGGAUUAAUACACCGUAACAUAACGAGGUGGCAUCAUUUUGUUAUUAUAGGCUUCGGCCGGUUUUGGAUGGGCGUGCGCCUGAUUAGGUAGUUGGCGGGGUAACGGCCCACCAAGCCUGCGAUCAGUAACUGGUGUGAGAGCACGACCAGUCACACGGGCACUGAGACACGGGCCCGACUCCUACGGGAGGCAGCAGUAAGGAAUAUUGGUCAAUGGACGAAAGUCUGAACCAGCCAUGCCGCGUGAAGGAUGAAGGUCCUCUGGAUUGUAAACUUCUUUUAUCUGGGACGAAAAAAGGGAAUUCUUUCCCACUUGACGGUACCAGAGGAAUAAGCACCGGCUAACUCCGUG